AGUAACGCGUGGGUAAUCUACCCCCGAAUUGGGGAUAGCAUCGCGAAAGCGAUGCUAAUACCGAAUAAAAUCUUAAAAACCUCGGUUUUAAAGAUCAAAGGUGGCCUCUACAUGUAAGCUUCUGUUUGGGGAUGAGCCCGCGUACCAUUAGCUUGUUGGUAGGGUAACGGCCUACCAAGGCUGCGAUGGUUAGCUGGUCUGAGAGGAUGAUCAGCCACACUGGAACUGACACACGGUCCAG
Molecule: ribosomal RNA, 241 nt
Filed under: uncultured bacterium
Lineage: Bacteria
Description: partial 16S ribosomal RNA
Rfam family: Bacterial small subunit ribosomal RNA
Source: RNAcentral